RNAcentral lists this transfer RNA (73 nucleotides) under Candidatus Physcosoma equi. RNAcentral's name for it is "tRNA-Ile". It matches the Rfam family "tRNA". Rfam says of the family: Transfer RNA (tRNA) molecules are approximately 80 nucleotides in length. Their secondary structure includes four short double-helical elements and three loops (D, anti-codon, and T loops). Lineage: Bacteria; Pseudomonadati; Spirochaetota; Spirochaetia; Spirochaetales; Sphaerochaetaceae. The record is from RNAcentral.
CCCCCUGUAGCUCAGUGGUUAGAGCAGGAGACUCAUAAUCUCUUGGUCCCUGGUUCAAGUCCAGGUGGGGGGA